This 1351-nucleotide ribosomal RNA is filed under the name Staphylococcus aureus. Its description in RNAcentral is "bacterial SSU rRNA". It matches the Rfam family "Bacterial small subunit ribosomal RNA", at positions 196 to 1533 of the family's 1533-position model. The record is from RNAcentral. Lineage: Bacteria; Bacillati; Bacillota; Bacilli; Caryophanales; Staphylococcaceae.
AAAAGUGAAAGACGGUCUUGCUGUCACUUAUAGAUGGAUCCGCGCUGCAUUAGCUAGUUGGUAAGGUAACGGCUUACCAAGGCAACGAUGCAUAGCCGACCUGAGAGGGUGAUCGGCCACACUGGAACUGAGACACGGUCCAGACUCCUACGGGAGGCAGCAGUAGGGAAUCUUCCGCAAUGGGCGAAAGCCUGACGGAGCAACGCCGCGUGAGUGAUGAAGGUCUUCGGAUCGUAAAACUCUGUUAUUAGGGAAGAACAUAUGUGUAAGUAACUGUGCACAUCUUGACGGUACCUAAUCAGAAAGCCACGGCUAACUACGUGCCAGCAGCCGCGGUAAUACGUAGGUGGCAAGCGUUAUCCGGAAUUAUUGGGCGUAAAGCGCGCGUAGGCGGUUUUUUAAGUCUGAUGUGAAAGCCCACGGCUCAACCGUGGAGGGUCAUUGGAAACUGGAAAACUUGAGUGCAGAAGAGGAAAGUGGAAUUCCAUGUGUAGCGGUGAAAUGCGCAGAGAUAUGGAGGAACACCAGUGGCGAAGGCGACUUUCUGGUCUGUAACUGACGCUGAUGUGCGAAAGCGUGGGGAUCAAACAGGAUUAGAUACCCUGGUAGUCCACGCCGUAAACGAUGAGUGCUAAGUGUUAGGGGGUUUCCGCCCCUUAGUGCUGCAGCUAACGCAUUAAGCACUCCGCCUGGGGAGUACGACCGCAAGGUUGAAACUCAAAGGAAUUGACGGGGACCCGCACAAGCGGUGGAGCAUGUGGUUUAAUUCGAAGCAACGCGAAGAACCUUACCAAAUCUUGACAUCCUUUGACAACUCUAGAGAUAGAGCCUUCCCCUUCGGGGGACAAAGUGACAGGUGGUGCAUGGUUGUCGUCAGCUCGUGUCGUGAGAUGUUGGGUUAAGUCCCGCAACGAGCGCAACCCUUAAGCUUAGUUGCCAUCAUUAAGUUGGGCACUCUAAGUUGACUGCCGGUGACAAACCGGAGGAAGGUGGGGAUGACGUCAAAUCAUCAUGCCCCUUAUGAUUUGGGCUACACACGUGCUACAAUGGACAAUACAAAGGGCAGCGAAACCGCGAGGUCAAGCAAAUCCCAUAAAGUUGUUCUCAGUUCGGAUUGUAGUCUGCAACUCGACUACAUGAAGCUGGAAUCGCUAGUAAUCGUAGAUCAGCAUGCUACGGUGAAUACGUUCCCAGGUCUUGUACACACCGCCCGUCACACCACGAGAGUUUGUAACACCCGAAGCCGGUGGAGUAACCUUUUAGGAGCUAGCCGUCGAAGGUGGGACAAAUGAUUGGGGUGAAGUCGUAACAAGGUAGCCGUAUCGGAAGGUGCGGCUGGAUCACCUCCUUU